GCAUAUCAAUAAGCGGAGGAAAAGAAACCAACCGGGAUUGCCUCAGUAACGGCGAGUGAAGCGGCAAAAGCUCAAAUUUGAAAUCUGGCUCCUUUGGGGCCCGAGUUGUAAUUUGCAGAGGAUGCUUCGGGGGCAGCUGCGGUCUAAGUGCCCUGGAACGGGCCGUCGCAGAGGGUGAGAAUCCCGUCUUCGGCCGGCCAGCUGCGCCCGUGAGAAGCUCCUUCGACGAGUCGAGUUGUUUGGGAAUGCAGCUCUAAAUGGGUGGUAAAUUUCAUCUAAAGCUAAAUAUGGGUCGGAGACCGAUAGCGCACAAGGAGACCGAUAGCGAACAAGUAGAGUGAUCGAAAGAUGAAAAGCACUUUGAAAAGAGAGUUAAACAGCAUGUGAAAUUGUUGAAAGGGAAGCGCUUGCGACCAGAGUCCGCCACCGGGGUUCAGCAGGUUUUCGGGCCUGUGCACUUCCCGGCGGUGGGGCCAGCGUCGGUUCGGGUGGCCGGUCAAAGGCCUCUGGAAUGUAUCGUCCUCCGGGACGUCUUAUAGCCAGGGGUGUCAUGCGGCCUACCCGGACCGAGGAACGCGCUCCGGCACGGACGCUGGCUUAAUGGUCGUCAGCGACCCGUCUUGAAACACGGACC
RNAcentral lists this ribosomal RNA (634 nucleotides) under Dactylodendron pinicola. Its description in RNAcentral is "eukaryotic LSU rRNA". It matches the Rfam family "Eukaryotic large subunit ribosomal RNA", at positions 38 to 667 of the family's 3401-position model. The record is from RNAcentral. Lineage: Eukaryota; Fungi; Ascomycota; Eurotiomycetes; Onygenales; Eremascaceae.